CACCUACUACCUUGCCCUUUAGGCAAGCCACUGUUUGCCUUAGUUAUCUCAAUUAUAAAAUGGGGAUAAUAAUAGCACCUACCUCCCAGGGUUGCUGUGAGAAUGAAAUAAGAUAAUAUUUGUAAAGCACUUAGCAUAGGGUGGUAGAGAUGGCAAGAAGAACUGAAGACAGAGAUGACAAAAGAUGCUUAGAGAGGAUCCAGGAACUGACUGGCAGCAAGGCUGUAAAAAGGAGAAGGAGAAGAACCAGCCAGAAAGGAGCUAGAGGUUUCGGACCUUGGCUGGGUGGUGGAGAGGACAGUGGAGCCAUCGACAGAAACUGGGAGAUCAGGAGAUAGAGCUGGCACAGAAAGGAGGAAGAGCUCCACAAAUCCAGCUCUGGGCUGGGCAGCCCUGUUUCUUCAUCCUCAUCCCCACUGAUUUGCCUUGAGUCAUUCUGGGAAUUGGAAAGAUAAGACUGGAUCAAAGAUUGCUCCAAGAAGCAUCCCCAGUGCUGCCUUCUCUAACGUCUGGAUGCCAUUGGAGGAAGCAAAGGUGAUGACAAAGAGCAACAAACAGUGGUAGUUUAUCGGUGAUGAUCACAGGUAGCUGGGGGUGUGGACAGGAUGGAGUCAAUGGGACUAGGAAAUUUGAAGGUCUUCUAUGUUUACUCUUCCUGGAGCAAUAAAUUACCACAGGGAGCUGAAGGGGUUCUGGAGAACAAAAACCAGAAUGGUGGAAUUGGAAGGGCCUUUAAGACACAGAAUGUCAGAGCUGGGACAGAUCUUAGAACAUAGAACAUCAGAGCCGAGAAGUUCCUUAGAAGAUAGAACAUCAGAGACGAGAAAACUGAGGCUCAAAUAGGGGAGGUAUUACCAAAUACCACAGGACUGGUAAGUGACAGAGCUUGGAUUCAAACUCAGGCCUCUUGAUCCCCCCCCCCCUCGGCAGACUCCUU
Molecule: long non-coding RNA, 937 nt
Filed under: Phascolarctos cinereus (koala)
Lineage: Eukaryota; Metazoa; Chordata; Mammalia; Diprotodontia; Phascolarctidae
Description: lncRNA (ENSPCIG00000035062.1)
Source: RNAcentral